GUUGUAUGGUUAAGUGACUAAGCGUAUACGGUGGAUGCCUUGGCAAAUAGAGGCGAUGAAGGACGUGUAAGUCUGCGAAAAGCUGUGGUGAGCUGACAAAACGCAUUUGAGCCACAGAUGUCCGAAUGGGGAAACCCACCUGUUUACAGGUAUCUGCAACUGAAUACAUAGGUUGUAGAGGCAAACGAGGGGAACUGAAACAUCUAAGUACCCUUAGGAAAAGAAAUCAACCGAGAUUCCCUNNNNNNNNNNNNNNNNNNNNNNNNNNNNNNNNNNNNNNNNNNNNNNNNNNAAAGUAGUAGUGGAACCUUCUGGAAAGUUGGACGAUACAGGGUGAUAGUCCCGUACAUGAAGCUGCUUUGUUUACAUAUUAAGUAGGUCGGAACACGUGUUAUUUUGACUGAAGAUGGGGGGACCAUCCUCCAAGGCUAAAUACUCCUAUUUGACCGAUAGUGAACCAGUACCGUGAGGGAAAGGCGAAAAGAACCCCUGUGAGGGGAGUGAAAUAGAACCUGAAACCGUAUACGUACAAGCAGUGGGAGCCCCAUCACUAAGUGCCUUUAGUGAUGAGACUCACAAAGUGCAACCGUUUGAUAUGACGAUUAACGUUGACCUGCUUUAGCAGCCAACGGUAAACCGCGCCAAAUCAAGCAGGGUGCUUAGUGAUGGGGUGACUGCGUACCUUUUGUAUAAUGGGUCAGCGACUUAUAUUUAGUAGCAAGGUUAACCAUGUAGGGGAGCCGUAGCGAAAGCGAGUGUUAACUGCGCGUCUAGUUGCUAGGUAUAGACCCGAAACCCGGUGAUCUAGCCAUGGGCAGGUUGAAGGUUGAGUAACAUCAACUGGAGGACCGAACCCACUAACGUUGAAAAGUUAGGGGAUGACUUGUGGCUGGGGGUGAAAGGCCAAUCAAACCGGGAGAUAGCUGGUUCUCCCCGAAAUCUAUUUAGGUAGAGCCUCGGACGAAUUCCAUUGGGGGUAGAGCACUGUUAAGGCUAGGGGGUCAUCCCGACUUACCAACCCUUUGCAAACUCCGAAUACCAAAGAGAACUAUCCGGGAGACACACGGCGGGUGCUAACGUCCGUCGUGAAGAGGGAAACAACCCAGACCGCCAGCUAAGGUCCCAAAAUAUUGCUAAGUGGGAAACGAUGUGGGAAGGCCCAGACAGCUAGGAGGUUGGCUUAGAAGCAGCCACCCUUUAAAGAAAGCGUAAUAGCUCACUAGUCGAGUCGGCCUGCGCGGAAGAUGUAACGGGGCUAAGCAAUAUACCGAAGCUGCGGCAGCAUGUUUACAUGCUGGGUAGGGGAGCGUUCUGUAAGCCGCUGAAGGUGAACUGUGAAGUUUGCUGGAGGUAUCAGAAGUGCGAAUGCUGACAUGAGUAACGAUAAUGCGGGUGAAAAACCCGCACGCCGGAAGACCAAGGUUUCCUGUCCCAUGCUAAUCAGGGCAGGGUAAGUCGGCCCCUAAGGCGAGGCAGAAAUGCGUAGUCGAUGGGAAACGGGUUAAUAUUCCCGUACUUAUAUAAUCAGUGAUGGAGGGACGGAGAAGGCUAA
RNAcentral lists this ribosomal RNA (1552 nucleotides) under Marisediminitalea alba. RNAcentral's name for it is "Alteromonas sp. 190 partial 23S ribosomal RNA". It matches the Rfam family "Bacterial large subunit ribosomal RNA", at positions 1 to 1485 of the family's 2925-position model. The record is from RNAcentral. Lineage: Bacteria; Pseudomonadati; Pseudomonadota; Gammaproteobacteria; Alteromonadales; Alteromonadaceae.